GUGGGGAAUUUUGGACAAUGGGCGCAAGCCUGAUCCAGCAAUGCCGCGUGCAGGAAGAAGGCCUUCGGGUUGUAAACUGCUUUUGUACGGAACGAAACGGUCCGGGUUAAUACCCUGGGCUAAUGACGGUACCGUAAGAAUAAGCACCGGCUAACUACGUGCCAGCAGCCGCGGUAAUACGUAGGGUGCAAGCGUUAAUCGGAAUUACUGGGCGUAAAGCGUGCGCAGGCGGUUUUGUAAGACAGGCGUGAAAUCCCCGGGCUCAACCUGGGAAUUGCGCUUGUGACUGCAAGGCUGGAGUGCGGCAGAGGGGGAUGGAAUUCCGCGUGUAGCAGUGAAAUGCGUAGAUAUGCGGAGGAACACCGAUGGCGAAGGCAAUCCCCUGGGCCUACACUGACGCUCAUGCACGAAAGCGUGGGGAGCAAACAGGAUUAGAAACCCUUGUAGUCC
This 450-nucleotide ribosomal RNA is filed under the name uncultured bacterium. Its description in RNAcentral is "partial 16S ribosomal RNA". It matches the Rfam family "Bacterial small subunit ribosomal RNA", at positions 354 to 796 of the family's 1533-position model. The record is from RNAcentral.